This 379-nucleotide ribosomal RNA is filed under the name uncultured bacterium. RNAcentral describes it as "bacterial SSU rRNA". It matches the Rfam family "Bacterial small subunit ribosomal RNA", at positions 29 to 423 of the family's 1533-position model. The record is from RNAcentral.
AACGAACGCUGGCGGCGCGUCUUAAACAUGCAAGUCGAACGAUCUGUAGCAAUACAGGGAGUGGCGGACGGGUGAGGAACACGUAGGAAUCUACCUUGAAGAGCGGGACAACUUUGGGAAACCGGGGCUAAUACCGCAUAGUACAGAGAUGUUAAAGGGCUAGCAAUAGUCGCUUCGAGAUGAGCCUGCGGUCUAUCAGCUUGUUGGUGAGGUAAUGGCUCACCAAGGCUACGACGGAUAGCCGGUCUGAGAGGAUGAUCGGCCACACUGGCACUGAGACACGGGCCAGACUCCUACGGGAGGCAGCAGUUAAGAAUCUUGCGCAAUGGGGGGAAACCCUGACGCAGCGACGCCGCGUGAAGGAUGAAGGCUUUCGGUU